GAAUAUUGCACAAUGGGCGAAAGCCUGAUGCAGCGACGCCGCGUGAGGGAUGACGGCCUUCGGGUUGUAAACCUCUUUCAGCAGGGAAGAAGCGAAAGUGACGGUACCUGCAGAAGAAGCGCCGGCUAACUACGUGCCAGCAGCCGCGGUAAUACGUAGGGCGCGAGCGUUGUCCGGAAUUAUUGGGCGUAAAGAGCUCGUAGGCGGCUUGUCACGUCGGUUGUGAAAGCCCGGGGCUUAACCCCGGGUCUGCAGUCGAUACGGGCAGGCUAGAGUUCGGUAGGGGAGAUCGGAAUUCCUGGUGUAGCGGUGAAAUGCGCAGAUAUCAGGAGGAACGACCGGUGGCGAAGGCGGAUCUCGUGGGCCGAUACUGACGCUGAGGAGCGAAAGCGGUGGGAGCGA
This 402-nucleotide non-coding RNA is filed under the name Streptomyces afghaniensis 772. RNAcentral describes it as "Bacterial small subunit ribosomal RNA". It matches the Rfam family "Bacterial small subunit ribosomal RNA", at positions 359 to 771 of the family's 1533-position model. The record is from Rfam by way of RNAcentral. Lineage: Bacteria; Bacillati; Actinomycetota; Actinomycetes; Kitasatosporales; Streptomycetaceae.